Molecule: ribosomal RNA, 483 nt
Filed under: uncultured bacterium
Lineage: Bacteria
Description: partial 16S ribosomal RNA
Rfam family: Bacterial small subunit ribosomal RNA
Source: RNAcentral
GACGAACGCUGGCGGCGUGCUUAACACAUGCAAGUCGAACGCUGAAGCUCAGCUUUUGUUGGGUGGAUGAGUGGCGAACGGGUGAGUAACACGUGGGUAACCUGCCCCCUUCUUUGGGAUAACGCCCGGGAACGGGUGCUAAUACUGGAUAUUCACUGGUCUUCGCAUGGGGGUUGGUGGAAAGGGUUUUUCUGGUGGGGGAUGGGCUCGCGGCCUAUCAGCUUGUUGGUGGGGUGAUGGCCUACCAAGGCUUUGACGGGUAGCCGGCCUGAGAGGGUGACCGGUCACAUUGGGACUGAGAUACGGCCCAGACUCCUACGGGAGGCAGCAGUGGGGAAUAUUGCACAAUGGGCGCAAGCCUGAUGCAGCGACGCCGCGGGAGGGAUGGAGGCCUUCGGGUUGUGAACCUCUUUCGCUCAUGGUCAAGCCGCAACAAUGGUUGUGGUGAGGGUAGUGGGUAAAGAAGCGCCGGCUAACUACGUG